UACGGAGGGUGCAAACGUUGCUCGGAAUCAUUGGGCGUAAAGCGCACGUAGGCGGACUGUUAAGUCGGAUGUGAAAUCCCUCAGCUUAACUGAGGAAGUGCACUCGAAACUGGCAGUCUUGAGUAUGGAAGGGGGUCGCGGAAUUCCCGGUGUAGAGGUGAAAUUCGUAGAUAUCGGGAGGAACACCAGUGGCGAAGGCGGCGACCUGGGCCAAUACUGACGCUGAGGUGCGAAAGCGUGGGGAGCAAACAGG
Molecule: ribosomal RNA, 253 nt
Filed under: uncultured bacterium
Lineage: Bacteria
Description: partial 16S ribosomal RNA
Rfam family: Bacterial small subunit ribosomal RNA
Source: RNAcentral